Molecule: small RNA, 1022 nt
Filed under: Pongo abelii (Sumatran orangutan)
Lineage: Eukaryota; Metazoa; Chordata; Mammalia; Primates; Hominidae
Description: retained intron
Source: RNAcentral
ACAGGGCGAGGGCGGCGGCGGCGGCGCAGUGUGCAGCAUGGCGUACCCGGGGCAUCCUGGCGCCGGCGGCGGGUACUACCCAGGCGGGUAUGGAGGGGCUCCCGGAGGGCCUGCGUUUCCCGGACAAACUCAGGAUCCGCUGUAUGGUUACUUUGCUGCUGUAGCUGGACAGGAUGGGCAGAUAGAUGCUGAUGAAUUGCAGAGAUGUCUGACACAGUCUGGCAUUGCUGGAGGAUACAAACCUUUUAACCUGGAGACUUGCCGGCUUAUGGUUUCAAUGCUGGAUAGAGAUAUGUCUGGCACAAUGGGUUUCAAUGAAUUUAAAGAACUCUGGGCUGUACUGAAUGGCUGGAGACAACACUUUAUCAGUUUUGACACUGACAGGAGUGGAACAGUAGAUCCACAAGAAUUGCAGAAGGCCCUGACAACAAUGGGAUUUAGGUUGAGUCCCCAGGCUGUGAAUUCAAUUGCAAAACGAUACAGCACCAAUGGAAAGAUCACCUUCGAUGACUACAUCGCCUGCUGCGUCAAACUGAGGGCUCUUACAGGUGAGUUCUAUAAGGUCAUGUUAUCACCACAAGCCAAGACACAGUUUUUAUUACAUUUCAUCUCUCAGUGCUUCUCAACUUUUAUUCUUCCCAAAUUUUUUUCUUGCUUUAGUAGUUUUUCUCAGAUUACUAUUAAGCAUAUCUGGCAAAAUAAUUUUUUUUUUCCAGAAUUUAUUUUAGAUUAGUAAGUAAUCUGCCAUUAAAAUAAACAAUUAAAUUUUACUAAAAUGUUCUAAAACACAAUCAGCUAACUUGUGCAUUUUUGAUCAGAUAAUAAUGAAUUUUUCCCCAGAAUGUGAAAUAUUUGGAAAGAGUGAAAUUAAAAUAAAAUCCUUUUCUAUAGGGCAGAGCUGAAAUGGUAGAGAAACUGAUUACAGCCCAUUUGUUAUACUGGGGACUCUUUCUCUGUUUCUUAAGCAGUAUCUUUGUUAUUAAGAAGCUAGAAAUUCUGUGCUUUUAUCACAAUUAAGUAAU